CCCUUAGAUGUUCUGGGCCGCACACGCGCUACACUGAAGGAGGCAGCGUGUACUCCUGGAUCGAAAGAUUUGGGUAACCCGCGAAUCUCCUUCGUGCUAGGGAUUGAGGUUUGCAAUUAUCCUUCAUGAACGAGGAAUUCCCAGUAAGUGCAAGUCAUAAGCUUGCGCUGACUACGUCCCUGCCCUUUGUACACACCGCCCGUCGCUCCUACCGAUUGAAUGGUCCGGUGAAAAUUUCGGAUACCGGCAUUGCUGGCGGUUCGCCGCCGGCGACGCUGGUAGAAGAUCUUUAAACCUUAUCAUUUAGAGGAAGGAGAAGUCGUAACA
Molecule: ribosomal RNA, 327 nt
Filed under: uncultured eukaryote
Lineage: Eukaryota
Description: partial 18S ribosomal RNA
Rfam family: Eukaryotic small subunit ribosomal RNA
Source: RNAcentral